CAAAAUGACAGAAACAAGUACCUGCACAGGCUCUGUCUAAACCACAUAUUUUGCUAAUGUAGUUUGUCAUUAUCAGAAAGAAUGCAAUAAUUUGCUAGCUAUUACAGCGGUUUCCUGAAAGCCCUCGAGACACUAUGGUGACGUAAUGGGUGGCGUCCUGGGGGCGAGCCAAACCUGCGCACGGAGAGAAGAAUCUGGCGCGGGAUAAGGAUCGGCUAUAAAGGAGAAAAAAAAAGGUAUCCAAGAACAAUUGCAGUUUUUAUGUGCGUUAAAGGAAAAUCACAUCGGAAUGGCUUCAGUCUAAAUACGAUAUUACUUGUAUAGGAGAUGGAAACGUUGGUUUAAAGAUAAAAAAAGUAGAUAUUUUUAGUCGGGCUACCUGUGGUAGGCCGACUUGAGAUUUAGGUUUUUUCCGUUUUUUUCCUCCGCCACAUAAUUGAAAAAUUGCGCAACAAUAUCCUUAUAUGGCAAAGCCCGAAGCCACGUGCGUCAUACGCUUCCAACUUUCUAUCGCUACUUUCCAGCUUUCUUGGAUGCAUCAAAUGACUGUGAUAUAUUAGGAAAAGCUGCGCAGUUAUCUUUAAUUCACUAUCAUGGAACUAGAUCUCGAUACGCAAAGUUUGUUUUGUUUGGUAACCAUCUCACUCGCGUUGUAAGAAGACGAAGCAGAGAACCAAGUGGGAUUCCAAAGAAACAGCUUGCACGUGUUUUUCAUUAUCUGUAAAGCAGAUACAUAAGAAGACUUGUUC
This is a long non-coding RNA of Nematostella vectensis (starlet sea anemone), 749 nucleotides long. RefSeq lists it as uncharacterized. The record is from RefSeq and is a predicted model, not a curated record. NCBI's taxonomy places the organism in Eukaryota, Metazoa, Cnidaria, Anthozoa, Actiniaria, Edwardsiidae. The transcript is spliced from 2 exons.